GCCGGGGUGGCCGAACGGUUCAGGCGGCUGCCUGCAGAGCAGCUAUAUAUGGGUUCAAUUCCCAUCCCCGGCU
Molecule: transfer RNA, 73 nt
Filed under: Candidatus Bathyarchaeota archaeon
Lineage: Archaea; Thermoproteati; Candidatus Bathyarchaeota
Also listed under: 1 other name
Description: tRNA-Cys
Rfam family: tRNA
About the family: Transfer RNA (tRNA) molecules are approximately 80 nucleotides in length. Their secondary structure includes four short double-helical elements and three loops (D, anti-codon, and T loops). Further hydrogen bonds mediate the characteristic L-shaped molecular structure. tRNAs have two regions of fundamental functional importance: the anti-codon, which is responsible for specific mRNA codon recognition, and the 3' end, to which the tRNAs corresponding amino acid is attached (by aminoacyl-tRNA synthetases). tRNAs cope with the degeneracy of the genetic code in two manners: having more than one tRNA (with a specific anti-codon) for a particular amino acid; and 'wobble' base-pairing, i.e. permitting non-standard base-pairing at the 3rd anti-codon position.
Source: RNAcentral